Molecule: long non-coding RNA, 2195 nt
Organism: Heterocephalus glaber (naked mole-rat)
Lineage: Eukaryota; Metazoa; Chordata; Mammalia; Rodentia; Bathyergidae
Source: RefSeq, a predicted model, not a curated record
CAGUGACCCACAAGGGCGCGAGGACUUUUGGAACAUCCUGAGGACGGGCAGAGGCGGGCUCUGCCUGCUGUACCAUGGCGGCCGGAAGUGCACGAUUCUCUGCGAAGGAAUCCGAGUCCUGACGAAGAUAGCGGAGGUGGGAGCGGAAGAGCCUCGGGUAGUCGAUGAAUCUGAGCGGGGUCGCGGGCGGUGAAAGGCAGAGAGGGAGUGUUGGGGCCACAGGUCCCAGAGAGCACGUAGCCAGGCGAGGCCCGGUUGGGAGCGAGGGGCCUUGCUGUGGGUGCCCGAGGCAAGGCGACAGGAGGCGAAUCACCGCGCCUUACAAGGGAAAUUGAGUGCAGAUGGCCAGAAGUAGGGAGAUCAGCAAAGAGGCAGUGGCCAGAAUCCCAACCAGAGAUGGUGGCAGCUCAGCUCAUCACGGAAGACUUGGAGCUGUGGACAGAAGAGCUGAGUCCAGAGUGCUUAUUUGAAAUGUAGGGACCCAGGCAUGGUGGAGGAGAUUAUCCUGACCCUAUAGAGACUUGGGAGCCCAUUGUCACGGCACAGGAAGCCCAUCGCAACGCGUGACUCCUGGAAUCGCGUGCACUCGUGAGACGGAUAAAACCCUUCACACCCCGGCCACCUGGGGUAGGGAGCCCAGCGCCCUAUGGAGCACCUCUUGUCCCCUAAGGCAGGACAGCUCAUCCCAUGUCACUUCUCAGAGGACAACGACCACAUGCACACCACUGGGUCCCCGACCGUCAACACCUGUCAGAUGGCAACGGGCUAAGAACAAAAGACCUUUGUGGAUCGCUUGGCACCAUCUGUGGGGUGGAAUUCUCCGCACAGCUGCCGCCCACAUUUUAUGUCAUCCCUCCGUGGAAAGAAGGCGACAUGGCAUUCAGAUGGGUGUUGAGCAGCGACAGAGGUCUUGCUUUUCAAGGGAGGGGGAGGCAGCCUGUCCACUGUCAGAGCCCACAGGUCAGGUAACUGGCCCAAAAGAAAGAGGAAGUUUCCUUAUCCACCCAGCUCAUCUGAAAUUGACAGCAGCUCCCUCCUUGCCAUGUGAGUGGAAGAAUUGAUAUUUUGCAUGGUGCCGUUUUAUGCCAUCUGUGACAGCGGAUUUAAAAAUCUGACACCAAGAAUUUGCUGUUCAGUGAUGAGCAGGACAGACAUGCAGCUGUCCAUUUGGCUGUUUUGUCAGAAUCCAGGAAAACACUGACGUUUUACACUGGCCCGAAUGGCUAAUGAUUGUCUAUUUUCCUAUAUCUCAGCUGUUCCUCUCUUUGGAUUUCCACAUUUCAAGUCCACAGCAUCAGAGAGCCAAGGAGAGAGGGCAGAGGGCACCCCCCGAAGGUGUAACAUGGUGAUGGUAAACCCUUCAGAGCAUUCAGUGAUACAAACUGCCCACUGCAGCACCUCGUGCCCUGACUAAGGAGAACCUUUAGGGAGCAAAUUUUUUGAUCUGUGAAUUGUAUUUCAGUUUAGAUGGUACAGAGGGGCUACACAGCCCUUAUUCAAGUGUUCGCACCUGUAUCUACUUCUGCUCUCCUUUUGAAGCAAGUAUAUGUGUAAAAUGAAGACUGUCUCUUGGCAGUGGCAGAACACUGGCUUCCCUUCCCUCUCCGAAUGUAGACCUUUUGGUUAUUUCACAUUUUAUACUUCCUAUCUACAGGUUUUUCUACUUUAGUUACACUUUGUGCAGCAUUUUCUAUAUUUGUAAUUUACUUUUUAUCUAGAUCAGCAUACAUUGUCCAUGACCAUAAGAAUCAAUGUUGUUACUUGUGCUGGCAUUUGCUGUUUACAUCCCCUGGUAUUGACAGAAUUAUGCCUUCGCUGAGGGCCACUUUCUGCAUACCAGGCUCUGCUCCAGAUGCCCCUUGAGGUACCACACUGCUGGUGCCAGGUCACCCACACCUCACCCGCCGCCCUGCACCCAGUCCCAGCCCUAAGGAGCCAUCCGGCAGCUGUCACACAUGCACAUCCCUCCCUCUUGGGUGAGACUGCCUCUGCCUGUGUUCUCACCCGUGUGUCCCUGGGGCUGGCCCACUUCAAUUCUCCCUUUCCUAAGACUGCCCUCCACCUGCAGAAACCGGUCAGUGCAUUGUGCUGAAUUGCAGGAGGCAGGCCCAAGGUCAGUGAGAAUUAUGCCCUCUCUCCUGAGCCUGGGCUGUCCCCUCGAAGCUCUGGAGUGGCUGCAGAUGCUUGAAGCCUGU